UGAACGCUGGCGGCAGGCCUAACACAUGCAAGUCGAGCGGCAGCGGGAAGUAGUUUACUACUUUGCCGGCGAGCGGCGGACGGGUGAGUAAUGUCUGGGAAACUGCCUGAUGGAGGGGGAUAACUACUGGAAACGGUAGCUAAUACCGCAUAACGUCUUCGGAACCAAAGUGGGGGAUCUUCGGACCUCACGCCAUCGGAUGUGCCCAGAUGGGAUUAGCUAGUAGGUGAGGUAAUGGCUCACCUAGGCGACGAUCCCUAGCUGGUCUGAGAGGAUGACCAGCCACACUGGAACUGAGACACGGUCCAGACUCCUACGGGAGGCAGCAGUGGGGAAUAUUGCACAAUGGGCGCAAGCCUGAUGCAGCCAUGCCGCGUGUGUGAAGAAGGCCUUCGGGUUGUAAAGCACUUUCAGCGAGGAGGAAGGCAUAAGGAUUAAUAAUCUUUGUGAUUGACGUUACUCGCAGAAGAAGCACCGGCUAACUCCGUGCCAGCAGCCGCGGUAAUACGGAGGGUGCAAGCGUUAAUCGGAAUUACUGGGCGUAAAGCGCACGCAGGCGGUUUGUUAAGUCAGAUGUGAAAUCCCCGCGCUUAACGUGGGAACUGCAUUUGAAACUGGCAAGCUAGAGUCUUGUAGAGGGGGGUAGAAUUCCAGGUGUAGCGGUGAAAUGCGUAGAGAUCUGGAGGAAUACCGGUGGCGAAGGCGGCCCCCU
RNAcentral lists this ribosomal RNA (712 nucleotides) under Yersinia enterocolitica. RNAcentral's name for it is "bacterial SSU rRNA". It matches the Rfam family "Bacterial small subunit ribosomal RNA", at positions 30 to 730 of the family's 1533-position model. Lineage: Bacteria; Pseudomonadati; Pseudomonadota; Gammaproteobacteria; Enterobacterales; Yersiniaceae. The record is from RNAcentral.